Molecule: ribosomal RNA, 253 nt
Filed under: uncultured bacterium
Lineage: Bacteria
Description: partial 16S ribosomal RNA
Rfam family: Bacterial small subunit ribosomal RNA
Source: RNAcentral
UACGGAGGGUGCAAGCGUUAUCCGGAUUCACUGGGUUUAAAGGGUGCGUAGGUGGGUCUGUAAGUCCGUGGUGAAAUCUCCGAGCUUAACUUGGAAACUGCCAUGGAUACUAUAGGUCUUGAAUACUGUGGAGGUCAGCGGAAUAUGUCAUGUAGCGGUGAAAUGCUUAGAUAUGACAUAGAACACCAAUUGCGAAGGCAGCUUGCUACACAGUUAUUGACGCUGAGGCACGAAAGCGUGGGGAUCAAACAGG